CCUACGGGAGGCAGCAGUGGGGGAUAUUGCACCAUGGGGGGAACCCUGCUGCCGCGACGCCGCGUGGGUGAAGGAGUGCUUCGGCAUGUAACGCCCUAUCGGCAGGGAAGAAGCAAGACGGUACCUGACUAAGAAGCCCAGGCUAACUACGUGCCAGCAGCCGCGGUAAUACGUAGGGGGCGAGCGUUAUCCGGCUUCACUGGGUGUAAAGGGAGCGUAGACGGCCAUGCAAGCCAGGGGUGAAAGCCCGGGGCCCAACCCCGGGACUGCCCUUGGAACUGCAUGGCUGGAGGGCGGGAGGGGCAGGAGGAAUUCCUGGUGGAGCGGUGAAAGGCGUAGAUAUCAGGAGGAACACCGGCGGCGAAGGCGGCCUGCUGGACUGCGACUGACGUUGAGGCUCGAAAGCGUGGGGAGCGAACAGGAUUAGAUACCCGUGUAGUC
RNAcentral lists this ribosomal RNA (441 nucleotides) under uncultured bacterium. Its description in RNAcentral is "partial 16S ribosomal RNA". It matches the Rfam family "Bacterial small subunit ribosomal RNA", at positions 338 to 795 of the family's 1533-position model. The record is from RNAcentral.